Molecule: ribosomal RNA, 496 nt
Filed under: uncultured bacterium
Lineage: Bacteria
Description: partial 16S ribosomal RNA
Rfam family: Bacterial small subunit ribosomal RNA
Source: RNAcentral
AUGAACGCUGGCGGCGUGCCUAAUACAUGCAAGUCGAGCGAACAGACGAGGAGCUUGCUCCUCUGACGUUAGCGGCGGACGGGUGAGUAACACGUGGAUAACCUACCUAUAAGACUGGGAUAACUUCGGGAAACCGGAGCUAAUACCGGAUAACAUGUUGAACCGCAUGGUUCAACAGUGAAAGACGGUCUUGCUGUCACUUAUAGAUGGAUCCGCGCCGCAUUAGCUAGUUGGUAAGGUAACGGCUUACCAAGGCAACGAUGCGUAGCCGACCUGAGAGGGUGAUCGGCCACACUGGAACUGAGACACGGUCCAGACUCCUACGGGAGGCAGCAGUAGGGAAUCUUCCGCCAUGGGCGAAAGCCUGACGGAGCAACGCCGCGUGAGUGAAGAAGGUCUUCGGAUCGUAAAACUCUGUUAUUAGGGAAGAACAAAUGUGUAAGUAACUAUGCACGUCUUGACGGUACCUAAUCAGAAAGCCACGGCUAACUACGUG